GGCUCCGUAGUCCAACGGGCAAGAUAUCUGGCUGUUAACCAGGUGAUGACCGUUCGAAUCGGUCCGGAGCCG
RNAcentral lists this transfer RNA (72 nucleotides) under Thermoplasmata archaeon. RNAcentral describes it as "tRNA-Asn". It matches the Rfam family "tRNA". Rfam says of the family: Transfer RNA (tRNA) molecules are approximately 80 nucleotides in length. Lineage: Archaea; Methanobacteriati; Thermoplasmatota; Thermoplasmata. The record is from RNAcentral. RNAcentral also lists the same sequence under 3 other names.